CUUAGGCGUGUGACUGCGUACCUUUUGUAUAAUGGGUCAGCGACUUAUAUUCUGUAGCAAGGUUAACCGAAUAGGGGAGCCGAAGGGAAACCGAGUCUUAACUGGGCGUUAAGUUGCAGGGUAUAGACCCGAAACCCGGUGAUCUAGCCAUGGGCAGGUUGAAGGUUGGGUAACACUAACUGGAGGACCGAACCGACUAAUGUUGAAAAAUUAGCGGAUGACUUGUGGCUGGGGGUGAAAGGCCAAUCAAACCGGGAGAUAGCUGGUUCUCCCCGAAAGCUAUUUAGGUAGCGCCUCGUGAAUUCAUCUCCGGGGGUAGAGCACUGUUUCGGCAAGGGGGUCAUCCCGACUUACCAACCCGAUGCAAACUGCGAAUACCGGAGAAUGUUAUCACGGGAGACACACGGCGGGUGCUAACGUCCGUCGUGAAGAGGGAAACAACCCAGACCGCCAGCUAAGGUCCCAAAGUCAUGGUUAAGUGGGAAACGAUGUGGGAAGGCCCAGACAGCCAGGAUGUUGGCUUAGAAGCAGCCAUCAUUUAAAGAAAGCGUAAUAGCUCACUGGUCGAGUCGGCCUGCGCGGAAGAUGUAACGGGGCUAAACCAUGCACCGAAGCUGCGGCAGCGACGCUGAUGCGUUGUUGGGUAGGGGAGCGUUCUGUAAGCCUGUGAAGGUGUGCUGUGAGGCAUGCUGGAGGUAUCAGAAGUGCGAAUGCUGACAUAAGUAACGAUAAAGCGGGUGAAAAGCCCGCUCGCCGGAAGACCAAGGGUUCCUGUCCAACGUUAAUCGGGGCAGGGUGAGUCGACCCCUAAGGCGAGGCCGAAAGGCGUAGUCGAUGGGAAACAGGUUAAUAUUCCUGUACUUGGUGUUACUGCGAAGGGGGGACGGAGAAGGCUAUGUUGGCCGGGCGACGGUUGUCCCGGUUUAAGCGUGUAGGCUGGUUUUCCAGGCAAAUCCGGAAAACUAAGGCUGAGGCGUGAUGACGAGGCACUACGGUGCUGAAGCAACAAAUGCCCUGCUUCCAGGAAAAGCCUCUAAGCAUCAGGUAACAUCAAAUCGUACCCCAAACCGACACAGGUGGUCAGGUAGAGA
This 1091-nucleotide ribosomal RNA is filed under the name Escherichia coli. RNAcentral's name for it is "partial 23S ribosomal RNA". It matches the Rfam family "Bacterial large subunit ribosomal RNA", at positions 584 to 1677 of the family's 2925-position model. Lineage: Bacteria; Pseudomonadati; Pseudomonadota; Gammaproteobacteria; Enterobacterales; Enterobacteriaceae. The record is from RNAcentral.